Molecule: ribosomal RNA, 143 nt
Filed under: uncultured eukaryote
Lineage: Eukaryota
Description: partial 18S ribosomal RNA
Rfam family: Eukaryotic small subunit ribosomal RNA
Source: RNAcentral
UGGUGGAGUGAUAUGUCUGGUUAAUUCCAUUAACAAACAAGACCACUGCCUGCUAAAUAGCCCAGCAAGUGAUUUUUCACUGACUGUUGGCUUCUUAGAGGGACAUGCAUUCGAUUAGAUGCAGGAAGAUAGGGGCAAUAACA